UGGGGAAUAUUGGACAAUGGGCGCAAGCCUGAUCCAGCAAUGCCGCGUGUGUGAAGAAGGUCUUAGGAUUGUAAAGCACUUUCGGCGGGGACGAUGAUGACGGUACCCGCAGAAGAAGCCCCGGCUAACUUCGUGCCAGCAGCCGCGGUAAUACGAAGGGGGCUAGCGUUGCUCGGAAUGACUGGGCGUAAAGGGCGCGUAGGCGGCUUGUACAGUCAGAUGUGAAAUUCCUGGGCUUAACCUGGGGGCUGCAUUUGAUACGUGCGGGCUAGAAUGUGAAAGAGGGUCGUGGAAUUCCCAGUGUAGAGGUGAAAUUCGUAGAUAUUGGGAAGAACACCGGUGGCGAAGGCGGCGACCUGGUUCAUGAUUGACGCUGAGGCGCGAAAGCGUGGGGAGCAAACAGGAUUAGAUACCCCCGUAGUCC
Molecule: ribosomal RNA, 424 nt
Filed under: uncultured bacterium
Lineage: Bacteria
Description: bacterial SSU rRNA
Rfam family: Bacterial small subunit ribosomal RNA
Source: RNAcentral